GUAAUAUGACCUGACCCGUUACCCGUUAAAGAAAAUAUAUUUUAAACCAAUAAAUAAUCAAAUGAAAAACAUAAUACUAAAUAAGUAUAUAUAUACCAUAUUAUCACAUCCAAAACAUAAUAACGCAUUUUUCUUUUAAGUAUAUUUUCGCUUACCUAAAUUGAUCAAAUGGUAAAAUUGGAAAAUAUUGGAAUAGAGAUGGGGUUUUUUCAUCCAAAAAAGUAAUAAGAAUAUAAAUGAAAUAGAAUCUAAUGACACAGAUUUACUCUCAUUUAUCGUACGGCUGUUAUUUAAAUAAAGUCUUUAAUAGUUUUUUAAUUAAUGUAGAAGUGUAAAAAAUAUAGAAAAAAUAUAUAUAAACGCUCGUAAUGACAAGCUUUACAACUUUCAUGAAGAGCUUAACUUCGAAAUUCGCCACUAUAAUCAUAUAAAUCAUUGUUCAAAAUUUAACUGUUGAUUGUUGUUUACAUUUACGCUUCAUUGUUCUCAUCAAAUUUUGUUUUCUCAGAUUUUCUUUUUUGAAAACAUGAUCUAUUAGAGAAUGUAGGAAGAUGAAUGGUGUAGAUUGUUGAUAUUAUAUUCAGAGUUUUAUGAUUAGUGAAAAUAUUGCUUGAUGCUUAUAAAGUUUCUACAAACUAGAUGACAUCGACUCAUAUUUCAGUUAACCGUAAAUAUCAAAAUAUGAUAUCAAAGAUUUAAACCAUUCAUCUUCUUACAUCCGCCAGAUGAUCAUGUUUUCAAAAAAGAAAAUUUUAAAAAUGAAAUUCAGUAAGAAGAAUAAAGUUUAAAUAUCAAUCGACGGUUAAAUAUAAAUUUAAGGUUAUGGAUUAUAGUGUUGGAUUUCUAAGCUGAUCCCUUCAUGAAAGUUGUAAAGCUUGUCAUUAUGAGUGAUUGUAUAUAUAUUUUUUUGUUUUUUACAUUUUUGACACUUCUACAAUAAUUUUAUUAAUUAUUCCCUCAAAUAAAAAACAUUAUUCAUGUGGGUUUGGAGGAUUUUAAAAAUCUAAAUAAUAAUAUAAGUGUAACCAUUAUCUACUUGUAGAUGAAUAAUGAUGAAUCACGAGUGUUUAUAUAUUCUUUCACAUUUUUCAUACUUGUAUGUAUGUCUUCUUAGUUAUUGUCUAUACAAAUAUUAUACUAGUUUAUUUUAAUUUUGGACAACAACAUGUUAAGUAAAAUUUAUC
This 1184-nucleotide long non-coding RNA is filed under the name Malus domestica (apple). Its description in RNAcentral is "long non-coding RNA (MDOM_LNC015061)". Lineage: Eukaryota; Viridiplantae; Streptophyta; Magnoliopsida; Rosales; Rosaceae. The record is from RNAcentral.